GACGAACGCUGGCGGCGUGCCUAACACAUGCAAGUCGAACGCUAAGGCUUGGUGCUUGCUCUGGGUGGAUGAGCGGCGGACGGGUGAGUAAUAAGUGAGUAACCUGCCUAUAACUCUGGGAUAAGACUGGGAAACCGGGUCUAAUACUGGAUACGACAUGUCACCGCAUGGUGGUGUGGGGAAAGGGGGUUGCUGGGUUUGGAUAGGCGCACGGCCUAGCAGCUUGUCGGUGGGGUAAUGGCUCACCAAGGCGAAGACGGGUAGCCGGCCUGAGAGGGUGGCCGCCGUCGCUGGGACUGAGAGACGGCGCAGACGCCUAUGGGGGGCAGCAGUGGGAAACAUUGCGGAAUGAGCGGGAGCCUGAGACGGAGACCCCGGGGGGGGGAAGACGGCCUUCGGGUUGUAAACCUAUGUCGGAGCGGAAAGACACAAAGUGACGGUACCUGCAGAAGAAGCGCCGGCUAACUACGUG
This 472-nucleotide ribosomal RNA is filed under the name uncultured bacterium. RNAcentral's name for it is "partial 16S ribosomal RNA". It matches the Rfam family "Bacterial small subunit ribosomal RNA", at positions 28 to 507 of the family's 1533-position model. The record is from RNAcentral.